UUUUCGUGUAAUAAGAAAAGCCUAUUGGUUGGUUUUGGGACUUUACGUCCACUUUAUUCAACUGCUUAAAAUUAACUCUCUAUACAUAGUACAAAUCGCUUAUUUAUAUAAUCAGUCUUACACAUUCAUUCAAUAUCGGUGACAUAAACAUUACGCAAAAUGGUUAUGUGCACUCAUCGUUUUCGUGUAAGUAGAUCGACCUAGUUAUACAAAACUAUGUCGUUCUCAUUACACGCCGAUUACAAUAUUCAUGACCAAGCUCAU
Long non-coding RNA from Bradysia coprophila, 264 nucleotides. The record is from RefSeq and is a predicted model, not a curated record. Lineage: Eukaryota; Metazoa; Arthropoda; Insecta; Diptera; Sciaridae.